GGCUUUGUGUUAGGAAUGGAUUUACAGGUCAUGUGCUGGUGUUCCAACCCUUGGAAAAUGGUGCAGGUUAAGAAUUCAGGUUCAUUGCAGCCUUUGUCUUGGUUAAAGCAUGGAGCCUUGGCCUUGAAGUGCAUUGUGUAGCCAUUUUGACCAUGUGUAGUUCAUGAUGUAUGAUUGAGGAGUGACCUAUUACAUUGUGUACUGUUUUUUUUCUUGAACAUGUGAAUGAUUGGCUUUGUAGGUUUUGAACACAAAUGGCUUGGAAACGGUAUGGCCUUGUCAUGUGGUUAUGGUCUGCUGCAGGCACUGCAGACUUGGCAAGAUUUUUGUAGGGUGUUAGCUGCAAUGUUUGAGUAGGGCCAUGAUGCAAGAUUAGCUACGUGGUUGGUGUGUUGUAAGUGGUUUGCAUCUGGCUCAAUGCAGCAGGUACAUUGCAUGAAGCUGGUUGCACUAGCUUAUGCUUCACGUGUGUAGUUUAUGGCUCCUAGUUCAUGGCAUGAUGGCAUUGAAGAUCCUGUGCAAAUGGCCAAAACAAGAUCAAGAUGGAGUUGUAAAAUGGGAUUAGGACUAGGAUUGGACAAUUGGUGG
Long non-coding RNA from Lathyrus oleraceus (garden pea), 588 nucleotides. RefSeq lists it as uncharacterized. Lineage: Eukaryota; Viridiplantae; Streptophyta; Magnoliopsida; Fabales; Fabaceae. The transcript is spliced from 3 exons. The record is from RefSeq and is a predicted model, not a curated record.